This 805-nucleotide ribosomal RNA is filed under the name Neolitaculus sp. NJAUAcariEriGL. RNAcentral describes it as "partial 28S ribosomal RNA". It matches the Rfam family "Eukaryotic large subunit ribosomal RNA", at positions 366 to 816 of the family's 3401-position model. Lineage: Eukaryota; Metazoa; Arthropoda; Arachnida; Trombidiformes; Eriophyidae. The record is from RNAcentral.
AAAUAGUACUUUGUAGAGAGAGUUAACAGGGCGUGAAACCGUUAAUUGGCAAACGAAUCGGAGCCACGAAGUCGUUUCGUUGAUAAGUUGGGCCAAGUUCAGUUUAUUAUCUAAAAAAUAAUAGGCGUAUUCUUGGUUCGACCAUCUUUGUAAGCGUACACUGCAACCAGUUAGACGAUUGGCUAUGGGCCCAGUUGUUGAAGAUUAACGCAAGUUGGUUUUUGCAACGAAGUAUUGUUUGUGCAAGUUAGUAGUAGCGCGGUGUUCUUCGGGGCAUUCGUGUUGCUGGACUCGUGCAAGUGAACUAUAGCCAAAUACUGACUGGCACAUUGAAAAUCGCCUCUGUGCGUUUUAUAAAAUGCAGUUUUCUGCAUUAGGGUCUACACAUUUGACCAUAGGGUUUAAGCUCAGCAUUUUUGAAUUUGGACUUGCUUGCUACCAGUGGGGCAACUCCUGGUGCUUGUAUAGCUUCCAUCUAAUCGGGUGUUGACUUGAUUUUAUGUUGUUUGAGUGUGAAACGAUUGGGCUUUAAUGUAAGAGAAUUUGCCAUUGAUUGGCAGUGAGUAGGUCGGCUUUCCGAACGACCCGUCUUGAAACACGGACCAAGGAGUCUAAUUAGGCAUCAAGUCGAUCGGUCUUGAAUAGGCCAGAAUUGUUGGAUUUAUCCGACUAAUUGAAGGCGUAGAGAAAUCAAAUCAUGUGAUCAUUGGAACAAUACCAGUUUUAAUGCGCAACAUGUGCCUGUUCGUAUAGCAAUGUUAGCAAUAACUUGCUGAGCGGAGCAAAGAGAUGCUUGAUUGGUACC